This 492-nucleotide ribosomal RNA is filed under the name uncultured bacterium. RNAcentral describes it as "bacterial SSU rRNA". It matches the Rfam family "Bacterial small subunit ribosomal RNA", at positions 373 to 881 of the family's 1533-position model. The record is from RNAcentral.
GGGGGAAACCCUGAUCCAGCGACGCCGCGUGAGUGAAGAAGUAUUUCGGUAUGUAAAGCUCUAUCAGCAGGGAAGAAAAUGACGGUACCUGACUAAGAAGCCCCGGCUAACUACGUGCCAGCAGCCGCGGUAAUACGUAGGGGGCAAGCGUUAUCCGGAUUUACUGGGUGUAAAGGGAGCGUAGACGGCACUGCAAGUCUGGAGUGAAAGCCCGGGGCUCAACCCCGGGACUGCUUUGGAAACUGUGGUGCUAGAGUGCAGGAGAGGUAAGUGGAAUUCCUAGUGUAGCGGUGAAAUGCGUAGAUAUUGGGAGGAACACCAGUGGCGAAGGCGGCUUUCUGGACUGUAACUGACACUGAGGCAUGAAAGCGUGGGGAGCAAACAGGAUUAGAUACCCUGGUAGUCCACGCCGUAAACGAUGAGUGCUAGGUGUAGAGGGUAUCGACCCCUUCUGUGCCGCAGUUAACACCCUAAGCACUCCGCCUGGGGAGU